Molecule: ribosomal RNA, 459 nt
Filed under: uncultured bacterium
Lineage: Bacteria
Description: partial 16S ribosomal RNA
Rfam family: Bacterial small subunit ribosomal RNA
Source: RNAcentral
CCUACGGGAGGCAGCAGUGAGGAAUAUUGGUCAAUGGGCGGGAGCCUGAACCAGCCAAGCCGCGUGAAGGAAGAAGGCGCCAAGCGUCGUAAACUUCUUUUGUCGGGGAACAAAGGGCGCCACGUGUGGCGUUGUGAGUGUACCCGAAGAAAAAGCAUCGGCUAACUCCGUGCCAGCAGCCGCGGUAAUACGGGGGAUGCGAGCGUUAUCCGGGUUUAUGGGGUUUAAAGGGUGCGUAGGCGGUCCGGAAAGUCAGCGGUAAAAGCCCGGGGCUCAACCCCGGCGAGCCGUUGAAACUGUCGGACUAGAGACGGCGAGAAGUACGCGGAAUGCGCGGUGUAGCGGUGAAAUGCAUAGAUAUCGCGCAGAACUCCGAUUGCGAAGGCAGCGUACCGGCGCCGGACUGACGCUGAGGCACGAAAGCGUGGGUAUCGAACAGGAUUAGAUACCCCAGUAGUC